AGAGUUUGAUCAUGGCUCAGGAUGAACGCUAGCUACAGGCUUAACACAUGCAAGUCGAGGGGCAGCAUGUUGGUUGCUUGCAACCAACGAUGGCGACCGGCGCACGGGUGAGUAACGCGUAUCCAACCUACCCUUGUCCAUCGGAUAACCCGUCGAAAGGCGGCCUAACACGAUAUGCGGUUCACAGCAGGCAUCUAACGUGAACGAAAUGUAAAGGAGAAGGAUGGGGAUGGCGUCUGAUUAGCUUGUUGGCGGGGUAACGGCCACCAAGGCUACGAUCAGUAGGGGUUCUGGAGAGGAAGGUCCCCCANAUUGGAACUGAAGACACGGUCCAAACUCCGUACGGGAGGCA
Molecule: ribosomal RNA, 352 nt
Filed under: uncultured bacterium
Lineage: Bacteria
Description: bacterial SSU rRNA
Rfam family: Bacterial small subunit ribosomal RNA
Source: RNAcentral